CGAACAUUUUUUUAUUAUUUUUUUUACGUACAACACAUUACUCUUUUUUUUUUGUUUAUUCAUUUUCGUACUUUUUCAGUAUUUUAGGAAUCUAUUUUUUUCCAUUAUUAUCUACUUAAUAUUGAAAAUUAUGAAUUAAAAAAAAAAAUCGGUCUCAGUCAUGUAUAGACACCCAUAGGAAACGGUAGUAAUCCGUAGUAACCCGUAAUAAUCCAUAGAUAUAUUCUUGAAAUCCUAACUUCUCCUUUUAACCCUAGCCGCCAGACGCUCUUAGUAACCCAUAGACAUCAAAUCGAAAAAUCUUGGAUCCAUCCCAGAAAACCUAAGAUCCACCCACCAAACCCUAAAUUCGUGACGCCAAAGACCACCCACCCCCAUCCACGCCUCUAAGGAUACCACCCACCCCACCCACGCCGCCAUCACCUACCCCAGCAGCAUCACCGCACCACCAACACCAUUCUCGAACUCCGAGCGCCGCCGCUGGGCCAGCGUCACCCUCGAACUCCGUUAUUGCCAUAACCACCCCCACCAUAACCCACCACCACUCAUCUAUUUGGACUCAUCUCUUCCCAAAAACGAUGCCGCCUCCGCUACGCACUCCAUCGCUGCUUCAGAUCCACCACCGUCACCAUAGAUCCGACGCGCCACCCCUACCCACUCCGUCGGCGCCUUCAGAUCCAUCGUCACAAUAGAUUCACCGUAGCCGCCGCCUUAAGAUUCAAUUAUGCCCACUCCGCCGCCGCCUUCUCGUUCGCCGCCACCCCUGUUUUCUUCUCCAAGCAUAUGGCGCAACUGAUUCGUGAGCCCAAACAAAAAACUAGUCCAGAGCGAUAGAGAGAGGGAGAGAAAAAGAGAAAAAAAAAAGAGAGAAAGAAAGCGAUGGAGAGAGAGGGAGAGAAAAAGAGAGAAAGAAAGAGACGAGAGAUGGAGGGGAGAGAGAGAAAGAAUGAGGUCAGAAGAAAUAGAAAUAAAUUUAAUUCAAAAUACGUGAAUGAAUAUGUAGAUUAAAAUAUUUAGGUUAUAAGGGUAAUGUAGGGAUAAAAAUAAUUAAUGAUGUACGUCACAUAUUGUUAAAUUAAUUAAGGAUUUAAUUAAAAUAUUGGAUUUGAACUUGUUAUUUAGUUCAAAUUAAGUUUCAUUUGAGGGGCUCCUAGCAUAUUACCCCUUUACAAAUUGGCGUAAACUCUCAAUAGCAGUGCUUUCACCUAUGGGUAUGUUGUUAUCCAGUAAAUCGGCAGGAACUCCAUAAGCAAAUAUUCUAUAUGCAACAAUUACUUUUUGAAGACUUGAUAAACCAGGGACCCCUGCUGCAUUAUUUAUUUGGAUGAAAUAGUGAUCGUAUGCUUCGACAUUGGAAAUAAUUAUACAAAAUAGAGGUUUGUACAUACGAAACCUUCUCCUGAAAUAAACAUCAUGAUAUACAAGAUUAUUAGCGAAAUAAUCACGAUAAAGUCUAUUAUGACCUUCAACGCUGUUGCGAUGAAUAACCCUUCUACCCGGAACUGAACUACGACGACGCUUGCGUUGUCUUUCUUUCUCAACUCCUCCUCUUCCAUUGCUUCUAAGAGCAUUUCAAGAUCAUCUGAAUCAGAGUCGGGUAAGAAAGCAUAUAGAACGGCAGAAUCACGAUGCAUCAUGAAAUAAAUAGAGAAA
Molecule: long non-coding RNA, 1653 nt
Filed under: Erythranthe guttata (spotted monkey flower)
Lineage: Eukaryota; Viridiplantae; Streptophyta; Magnoliopsida; Lamiales; Phrymaceae
Description: long non-coding RNA (EGUT_LNC001965)
Source: RNAcentral